This 217-nucleotide unclassified non-coding RNA is filed under the name uncultured Tomentella. RNAcentral's name for it is "sequence contains ITS2". The record is from RNAcentral. Lineage: Eukaryota; Fungi; Basidiomycota; Agaricomycetes; Thelephorales; Thelephoraceae. RNAcentral also lists the same sequence under 1 other name.
ACAUCUCAACUCUCAUGGCUUGCCGUGAUGAGCUUGGACUUUGGGGGUCUUGCUGGCCUGUGGUCAGCUCCUCUCAAAUGAAUUAGCCUGCCGGUGUUUGGUGGGAUCACAGGUGUGAUAACUAUCUACGCUUGUGGUUUUCCACCAGGUAACCCUCAGCAAUGGAGGUUCACCGGAGCUUACAAAUGUCUCUCCCCAGCGAGGACAGAUUUUGACC